UACGGAGGAUGCGAGCGUUAUCCGGAUUUAUUGGGUUUAAAGGGUGCGUAGGCGGGAUGCCAAGUCAGCGGUAAAAAUGCGGUGCUCAACGCCGUCGAGUCGUUGAAACUGGCGUUCUUGAGUGGGCGAGAAGUAUGCGGAAUGCGUGGUGUAGCGGUGAAAUGCAUAGAUAUUACGCAGAACUCCGAUUGCGAAGGCAGCAUACCGGCGCCCUACUGACGCUGAGGCACGAAAGCGUGGGUAUCGAACAGG
Molecule: ribosomal RNA, 252 nt
Filed under: uncultured bacterium
Lineage: Bacteria
Description: partial 16S ribosomal RNA
Rfam family: Bacterial small subunit ribosomal RNA
Source: RNAcentral